UAGCUCACUGGUCGAGAGGUCCUGCGCCGAAAAUGUCCGGGGCUGAAACGCGCCACCGAAACUAAGGAACCGAAAGGUUGGUAGAGGAGCAUUGCAUGCGGGAAGAAGCAGUACCGUAAGGAGCUGUGGACUGCAUGGAAGAGAGAAUGCCGGAAUGAGUAGCGAGAAUAAGGUGGGAAUCCUUAUGGCCGAAUAUCCAAGGUUUCCAGAGUAAAGCUGAUCUGCUCUGGGUAAGUCGGGGCCUAAGGCGAGGACGAGAGUCGUAGCCGAUGGACAACAGGUGGAGAUUCCUGUACUGCGGUAUGACAGAACUGUGGGGACACGUAAGGAAAGCGGAAGCCGGGAAUGGAAAGUCCGGUGCAAGCGGGGUACCAGUCACUUUGGCAAAUCCGGGUGGCAAUGGGAAGCCGUGAUGCGGAGCGAAAUAAAGUAGUGAAGUCCGUGAGCCAUGCGUCAAGAAAAGCCGCUAUUGUUUAUACCGUACCCGUACCGUAAACCGACACAGGUGGAUGAGGAGAGAAUCCUAAGGCCGGCGGAAGAAGCAUUGUCAAGGAACUCGGCAAAAUGGCCCCGUAACUUAGGGAUAAGGGGUGCCUGGGAAACCAGGCCGCAGAGAAUAGGCUCAAGCAACUGUUUAGCAAAAACACAGGUCUAUGCGAAACCGAAAGGUGAGGUAUAUGGGCUGACGCCUGCCCGGUGCUGGAAGGUUAAGAGGAGAGGUUAGCGGUAACGCGAAGCUUUGAAUUUAAGCCCCAGUAAACGGCGGCCGUAACUAUAACGGUCCUAAGGUAGCGAAAUUCCUUGUCGGGUAAGUUCCGACCCGCACGAAAGGCGUAAUGAUUUGAGCGCUGUCUCGACAAUGCAUCCGGUGAAAUUGAAGUACCAGUGAAGAUGCUGGUUACCUGCGCCAGGACGGAAAGACCCCAUGGAGCUUUACUCCAGUCUGGUACUGGGACUCGGUAUUGCAUGUACAGGAUAGGUGGGAGGCUAGGAGAUGGUAACGCCAGUUGCCAUGGAGCCGCUGUUGGGAUACCACCCUUGCAGUAUUGGGUUUCUAACCAGCCGCCGUGACCCGGCGGUGGGACAAUGCCAGACGGGGAGUUUGACUGGGGCGGUCGCCUCCGAAAGGGUAUCGGAGGCGCCCAAAGGUUCCCUCAGAAUGGACGGAAACCAUUCGAAGAGUGCAAAGGCAGAAGGGAGCUUGACUGCGACACCGACGGGUGGAGCAGGUACGAAAGUAGGGCUUAGUGAUCCGGUGGUAUUAAGUGGGAAUGCCAUCGCUCAACGGAUAAAAGCUACCCUGGGAUAACAGGCUUAUCACUCCCAAGAGUUCACAUCGACGGAGUGGUUUGGCACCUCGAUGUCGGCUCAUCGCAUCCUGGGGCUGUAGUAGGUCCCAAGGGUUGGGCUGUUCGCCCAUUAAAGCGGUACGCGAGCUGGGUUCAGAACGUCGUGAGACAGUUCGGUCCCUAUCCGGCGUGGGCGUAGGAUAUCUGAGAGGAGCUGUCCUUAGUACGAGAGGACCGGGAUGGACGGGCCGCUGGUGCAUCGGUUAGACUGCCAAGUCUACGGCCGAGUAGCCAAGCCCGGAAGGGAUAAACGCUGAAGGCAUCUAAGCGUGAAGCCCCCCUUAAGAUGAGAUAUCCCAUUCGUUAAGAAGUAAACCCCCUUGAAGACGACGAGGUAGAUAGGGCAGAGGUGGAAGUGCAGCAAUGUAUGGAGCUGACUGUUACUAAUCGGGUGAGGGCUUGACCU
RNAcentral lists this ribosomal RNA (1755 nucleotides) under metagenome. Its description in RNAcentral is "bacterial LSU rRNA". It matches the Rfam family "Bacterial large subunit ribosomal RNA", at positions 1138 to 2925 of the family's 2925-position model. The record is from RNAcentral.